UUGGCGCCCUGGCCGGGCUUCGCGAGCCCCAUCGCUUCGUACUCGAUCAGUUCGGCAAUGGUGAAACAGUCGUGCGUCUCGACCAGCGACAAG
RNAcentral lists this transfer RNA (93 nucleotides) under Pandoraea morbifera. RNAcentral's name for it is "Pandoraea sp. LMG 31116 tRNA-Thr". Lineage: Bacteria; Pseudomonadati; Pseudomonadota; Betaproteobacteria; Burkholderiales; Burkholderiaceae. The record is from RNAcentral.